GAUGAACGCUGGCGGCGUGCCUAAUACAUGCAAGUCGAGCGAACAGACGAGGAGCUUGCUCCUCUGACGUUAGCGGCGGACGGGUGAGUAACACGUGGAUAACCUACCUAUAAGACUGGGAUAACUUCGGGAAACCGGAGCUAAUACCGGAUAAUAUAUUGAACCGCAUGGUUCAAUAGUGAAAGACGGUUUUGCUGUCACUUAUAGAUGGAUCCGCGCCGCAUUAGCUAGUUGGUAAGGUAACGGCUUACCAAGGCAACGAUGCGUAGCCGACCUGAGAGGGUGAUCGGCCACACUGGAACUGAGACACGGUCCAGACUCCUACGGGAGGCAGCAGUAGGGAAUCUUCCGCAAUGGGCGAAAGCUUGACGGAGCAACGCCGCGUGAGUGAUGAAGGUCUUCGGAUCGUAAAACUCUGUUAUUAGGGAUGAACAAAUGUGUAAGUAACUAUGCACGUCUUGACGGUACCUAAUCAGAAAGCCACGGCUAACUACGUG
RNAcentral lists this ribosomal RNA (497 nucleotides) under uncultured bacterium. RNAcentral describes it as "partial 16S ribosomal RNA". It matches the Rfam family "Bacterial small subunit ribosomal RNA", at positions 28 to 507 of the family's 1533-position model. The record is from RNAcentral.